UCUAAUGUGGCAGAUAAAGUGUAAUGAAUUUAAAAUUCAUUAAUAAAUUUUUAAUUUCUUUAGAA
RNAcentral lists this transfer RNA (65 nucleotides) under Nisia fuliginosa. Its description in RNAcentral is "tRNA-Leu". The record is from RNAcentral. Lineage: Eukaryota; Metazoa; Arthropoda; Insecta; Hemiptera; Meenoplidae.